AGAGUUUGAUCCUGGCUCAGGAUGAACGCUGGCGGUAUGCUUAACACAUGCAAGUCGAACGAAGCCUUUCGAGGCUUAGUGGCGGACGGGUGAGUAACGCGUGAGAAUCUGCCUUGAGGUUUGGGACAACAGCUGGAAACGGCUGCUAAUACCAAAUAUGCACAACUGUGAAAGGGGUUUUCCCCGCCUCGUGAUGAGCUCGCGUCUGAUUAGCUAGUUGGUAGAGUAAGAGCCUACCAAGGCGACGAUCAGUAGCUGGUCUGAGAGGAUGAUCAGCCACACUGGGACUGAGACACGGCCCAGACUCCUACGGGAGGCAGCAGUGGGGAAUUUUCCGCAAUGGGCGAAAGCCUGACGGAGCAAUACCGCGUGAGGGAAGAAGGCUCUAGGGUUGUAAACCUCUUUUCUCAGGGAAGAACACAAUGACGGUACCUGAGGAAUCAGCAUCGGCUAACUCCGUGCCAGCAGCCGCGGUAAUACGGAGGAUGCAAGCGUUAUCCGGAAUGAUUGGGCGUAAAGCGUCCGCAGGUGGCAAUGUAAGUCUGCUGUUAAAGAGUCUGGCUCAACCAGAUAAAGGCAGUGGAAACUACAUGGCUAGAGUGCGUUCGGGGCAGAGGGAAUUCCUGGUGUAGCGGUGAAAUGCGUAGAGAUCAGGAAGAACACCGGUGGCGAAAGCGCUCUGCUAGGCCGCAACUGACACUGAGGGACGAAAGCUAGGGGAGCGAAUGGGAUUAGAUACCCCCGUAGUCC
RNAcentral lists this ribosomal RNA (750 nucleotides) under uncultured cyanobacterium. RNAcentral describes it as "bacterial SSU rRNA". It matches the Rfam family "Bacterial small subunit ribosomal RNA", at positions 8 to 796 of the family's 1533-position model. The record is from RNAcentral. Lineage: Bacteria; Bacillati; Cyanobacteriota.